GUUUUUUUGAAAAAAAAAAAAUUCUUCGAUAAACUUCUUCGGCGAAUCAACACUUCUAUCCUCUUCCACUUAUUCUCCUGAGCUUGGUUGCGAGGCAUCUUCCAAGGGGAAGGAAAUUGCUGGCCAGUGAGCGCGUCUCGAGAUGAGAUGACGGGUUCAACUACGAUGUUGGACUAGGUUGUGCUGGGCAAGCAGUAGAGUGACCUACUUUUCCCCUUGUAUAGGGAAUGAGGCACCAACAAUCACAAAUAGCUCAAUCAAGCCAAUACAACCCUAUGGACCAAACUGGCUCCCAAGUAUUGCAAGAACAUUUCAAUAUGUUUGUGUUGUUGAGCACAAACACCCAACAAGAGACCUCCACCAUUUGUGUUGAAGCAUUUGAAGCAUUAAAGUCAUAGUUUUAUUUCAUUCAUGUACCAAGUUUGGCUCCAAAGCUUGAAUCUUUGAGUAGAACCACACACCCCAUGGAGGCACAACCUGCAUAUAAGGCCAUGAUGAGGAGACAUGAAUUGAAUGUCCUAGGAGUCAAAAGUGGCUGAAUUUCAAGGCCACAACAUCAUGCCCAAAAAAUUGCUUAGACCAAUGCAAACCCUACUAUUUUGAAGCCUUAAGAGAGAAAUAAAUAAGAUGAUGGUGCAAAGAAAAGGAGGAUAUGGAUUCCCAUAUGUGGCAGAGCUUCUUCAACUUAUGCUGAAUUAUGUCUGCAGAAUGGUGACUAUAAAAAGUUUUUUGCAGAAUUUUAUCAAACUAUA
This is a long non-coding RNA of Dioscorea cayenensis subsp. rotundata (Guinea yam), 752 nucleotides long. RefSeq lists it as uncharacterized. The transcript has 6 exons. NCBI's taxonomy places the organism in Eukaryota, Viridiplantae, Streptophyta, Magnoliopsida, Dioscoreales, Dioscoreaceae. The record is from RefSeq and is a predicted model, not a curated record.